GGGGAUGACGGUCAAGUCAUCAUGGCCCUUAUGUCCAGGGCGACACACGUGCUACAAUGGCCGGCACAGCGGGAAGCGAGGGGGCGACCUUGAGCGGAUCCCUCAAACGACCGGUCUCAGUUCGGAUUGCAGUCUGCAACUCGACUGCAUGAAGUUGGAAUCGCUAGUAAUCGUGGAUCAGCCAAGCCGCGGUGAAUACGUUCCCGGGCCUU
Molecule: ribosomal RNA, 212 nt
Filed under: uncultured Thermovirga sp.
Lineage: Bacteria; Thermotogati; Synergistota; Synergistia; Synergistales; Thermovirgaceae
Description: partial 16S ribosomal RNA
Rfam family: Bacterial small subunit ribosomal RNA
Source: RNAcentral